Molecule: ribosomal RNA, 483 nt
Filed under: uncultured bacterium
Lineage: Bacteria
Description: partial 16S ribosomal RNA
Rfam family: Bacterial small subunit ribosomal RNA
Source: RNAcentral
ACUCAAAGGAAUUGACGGGGGCCCGCACAAGCAGCGGAGCGUGUGGUUUAAUUCGAUGCAACGCGCAGAACCUUACCAGGGCUUGACAUCCAACUCACAGGGGCUGAAAGGCCCUGCCCGCAAGGGGUGUUGGACAGGUGCUGCAUGGCUGUCGUCAGCUCGUGCCGUGAGGUGUUGGGUUAAGUCCCGCAACGAGCGCAACCCCCGGGCCUAGUUAGCUUCCUAGGCCGACGGCCGGGACCAACCUGGAGGAAGGUGGGGAUGACGUCAAGUCAGCACGGCCCUCACGUCCUGGGCCACACACACGCUACAAUGGCCGGUACAGCGGGCGGUGCGAAGCCGUGAGGCGGAGCGAAUCCCGACAAAGCCGGCCCCAGUGCAGAUCGGGGGCUGCAACUCGCCCCCGUGAAGGCGGAGUUGCUAGUAACCGCGGGUCAGCACACCGCGGUGAAUACGUUCCCGGGCCUUGCACACACCGCCCGU